This 253-nucleotide ribosomal RNA is filed under the name uncultured bacterium. Its description in RNAcentral is "partial 16S ribosomal RNA". It matches the Rfam family "Bacterial small subunit ribosomal RNA", at positions 524 to 776 of the family's 1533-position model. The record is from RNAcentral.
UACGUAGGUGGCAAGCGUUGUCCGGAUUUACUGGGCGUAAAGAGCGCGUAGGCGGCCAACUAAGUCGGACGUGAAAUCCCCAGGCUCAACCUGGGAACUGCAUCCGAUACUGGAUGGCUUGAAUUCGGGAGAGGGAUGCAGAAUUCCAGGUGUAGCGGUGAAAUGCGUAGAUAUCUGGAGGAAUACCGGUGGCGAAGGCGGCAUCCUGGACCGACAUUGACGCUGAGGAGCGAAAGCCAGGGGAGCAAACGGG